AAUGGGGGAAACCCUGACGGAGCGACGCCGCGUGGACGAUGGAGGCCGUAAGGUUGUAAAGUCCUUUUCCUGGUGAAGAAUGACUGUGGGAGUGGAAAGCCCAUGGGAUGACGUUAGCCAGGGAAUAAGCCCCGGCCAAUUACGUGCCAGCAGCCGCGGUAAUACGUAUGGGGCAAGCGUUGUUCGGAGUUAUUGGGCGUAAAGGGCGUGUAGGCGGCUCAUCAAGUCUGGUGUGAAAAUGCAGGGCCUAACCCUGCAGAUGCGCUGGAAACUGGUGGGCUUGAGUUCCUGAGGGGAAGCUGGAAUUCCAGGUGUAGGGGUGAAAUCUGUAGAUAUCUGGAAGAACACCGGUGGCGAAGGCGAGCUUCUAUCAGAGGACUGACGCUGAGUCGCGAAAGCGUGGGGAGCAAA
This 411-nucleotide ribosomal RNA is filed under the name uncultured bacterium. Its description in RNAcentral is "bacterial SSU rRNA". It matches the Rfam family "Bacterial small subunit ribosomal RNA", at positions 370 to 772 of the family's 1533-position model. The record is from RNAcentral.